RNAcentral lists this ribosomal RNA (377 nucleotides) under uncultured bacterium. Its description in RNAcentral is "bacterial SSU rRNA". It matches the Rfam family "Bacterial small subunit ribosomal RNA", at positions 521 to 896 of the family's 1533-position model. The record is from RNAcentral.
UAAUACAGAGGGUGCGAACGUUGCUCGGAAUUAUUGGGCGUAAAGCGCGUGUAGGCGGCUUGUUAUGUCGGUCGUGAAAGCCCACGGCUCAACCGUGGAAGUGCAACCGAAACUGGCAAGCUUGAGUCCUGACGAGGAUGGCGGAAUUCCCAGUGUAGAGGUGAAAUUCGUAGAUAUUGGGAGGAACAUCGGUGGCGAAGGCGGCCAUCUGGGAAGCGACUGACGCUGAGACGCGAAAGCGUGGGGAUCAAACAGGAUUAGAUACCCUGGUAGUCCACGCUGUAAACGAUGAACACUAGAUGUUGCGGGUAUUGACCCCUGCAGUGUCGACGCUAACGCAUUAAGUGUUCCGCCUGGGGAGUACGGCCGCAAGGCUA